Long non-coding RNA from Rhincodon typus (whale shark), 754 nucleotides. RefSeq lists it as uncharacterized. Lineage: Eukaryota; Metazoa; Chordata; Chondrichthyes; Orectolobiformes; Rhincodontidae. The transcript has 3 exons. The record is from RefSeq and is a predicted model, not a curated record.
UGUUGAGCUGGGGUGUUGCAGUUGAGCUUGUUUCUGCAUAAGUCCCUGAAUGCAGUGAUCAGCCUUGUUAGUUUGUUUGCUGUUCUGACCCUAGGUGAGGGCCUCGCACUUGGUGCCAUAAACUAAUUCAAAUGGAGUAAACCUGGUGGAUCCAAUUGGCUGAAUCCCAGGUGGUGAACAGGAGAAGAUGGGGCUCUUACCUUAGACAAGAAUGCUGCCAGACCUGCUGAGUUUUUCCAGCAACUUCUGUUUUUGUGCCAUUUUUAACAGCUAUGCCACUGACUUGACAGAGGUAAAGAAAGUUUUUACCUUUGCAUCCUCAAACUAAAGAAUUAAAUGAGCUAACCAAAUUUUCUCUGCCCUUAAUUCUGAGCAAAUACUGUAUUUACGGGAUGCAGUAAAGCUUCUGCUCCUUAGCUUGAGGUGUCGGCGUUCAAACUCUUUUCCUGCCAUUUUCCUGAAAUUCUCUAUUCCCCUCAUUAUUCUUUUGACCCUUUCGCCAUUGUCUGCCAGUUUGCCAUUCCUUUUUUGUGAAAUUCUAAUUUCCACUGCUCAAAUUUUAAUCUCUGUUCCACCAUGCUCCCCAUUUCAUCAUCCCCCGUUUCGACCUUAAAAAACAUUGGUAACCACUUUUAAAACAUUCUAAACUUUUAACUGUUCAAGGGACAGAACGUGUAUAUCCUCAAAAGUAAUUUCCCCUAUUUCUGCUAGGAAUAUGCUGACAUUGAGUAUGGACAUCUCUGUUCUAUAUUAA